GGGCCCGUAGUUUAGUGGUAAAACGCCUCAUUUGCAAUGAGGAGAGCGGCGGUUCGAUCCCGCCCGGGUCCA
RNAcentral lists this transfer RNA (72 nucleotides) under Pseudomonadota bacterium. RNAcentral describes it as "tRNA-Ala". It matches the Rfam family "tRNA". Rfam says of the family: Transfer RNA (tRNA) molecules are approximately 80 nucleotides in length. Their secondary structure includes four short double-helical elements and three loops (D, anti-codon, and T loops). RNAcentral also lists the same sequence under 2 other names. The record is from RNAcentral. Lineage: Bacteria; Pseudomonadati; Pseudomonadota.